CGUGCGCAGUAGGCUGGACGGACCGCGCAUGCGCGACAUGGGCGGGACCUGCCCGACCGGAGAGACGGAGCUCUAUGCUGCGCAUGCGCGGCGCAUGCUGGCUGGGGGGAGCGGGGCUUGCGCGCUGUGAGGGGCUUCGUGCGCAUGCGCGGGAGGAGCUGCGGGUCAUGAGCUUUUCCCGCCCGUGCAGGGCGCGGCUGUGGGCGGGUCUGAGGGAGAGCGGUGGGGAAAUAGGGGGUAGCGCUGUACAGUGUGUGGGGUACGGCUUCAUGGGUGUGUGGGGGAGCGGGGUGUGACACUGAGGGCGCAGUGCUGAAGGACGCUACUUUGCAACGCUGGAGGCCUUGGGUUCGAAUCCCCCUGUGGCGCAAGUGGUAGCAGUGCCGCUCUGCAGCACAGAGGCUCCAAUCCCGGGGUUGGACUCGGUGAUCUCUAAGGUCCCUGCCAACCCGCACCGCACUGUGACACUGUGACGCUGUGCGGUGUGUGUAACGUGUAUUGCAGUGGUCUUCAUCCUAAAUGACGGGGCUGCCGGUGUGGCAUUUCCUUACAGUAACUUAUCAAGCGUGUGAAAUAUCAGUUAAAAGAACAACAAAAUCAAUAAAGUGGGUCAGAAUUUGGCCCAAUGUGCCCUUUUGGAAUUAGCCACUUACCAAAGGCUUCCUGCUUAAUAGGAGUCACUUGUCUCCAGCCGGGUUUGCCUUGCAGUGAGUGGAAAGGGUUAAAUUCUUUGCUUGCUAUUGAGGCAAAGAAACAAAAUAGUGAGCAAAGGGGAAGGAAUGUUUGCUGUAACCAGUCGGUCUCGGUUCCUCCAUGUCAUGCUCUCUCUAUAAGAUGUGCAUUUUUUUGGCAUGCCUUUCUUCAGGGGCUCUAUUUUGCAUCCUCAGAUGCCUCUGGUUUUGUAUUUUAAAGCUGUAAAAGGAGAGGUGUUAUCUGUUGAAAAAUGGCAAGAAUCUGCUCUGUGGCACUGCUUCAUUGCCUCCCAAAUAAUCCUGAACAAGCAACUGGAAAGAACAUAAGGCAAUAAUCCUCUCUUAUUUAACUAGCCAAGUUAAAGACCGUAUUUAGCUUUUGUUUUCAUAGAGAUAGAGGAAUUCCUGGUGAAACUCAGGUUCUGAAUUCUUUCUGAUUUUUUCUUUUUUAAAUUUCUUAAAUUAAAGCUUCAGUAGCAGGAAAAUCUUAACUUGCUUAUGAAACUGCAACCAAAGUCCUGUGACGUAUUAUCUGAUAUGUGCAGAGAAAACACGUGUAAUGUGCACUAGGCAGUGCUCCAUGCGGAUUGCAAUAGUGAUUGCUGCUGUCUUUAAAGCAAUUGUGGUGGCUCCCAAACCUGCCAUAGGUUAAUGGGAGCCUGGUGUUAGGGUUACUCUGCUAUGGAAAGGUUCCUUGUUUGAAAAGGCAGUCAUAGCUCUUAGCUAUCAACUCAGCAUCAUGAGGUAGGGGAUUCAUCGUUCCUUGCUCGCAGUUGAAGCUGUGCCGUUGACUAGAAGAGAACUGAGGACUUGGCACAGCAGUAUUUUGGAUCCAGUUAUUCAGGUGCUCACAUAGAAGGGAGACAAUUGGAGUUCCAUCUAAAACAACCUGCUCUAUUCUUUAUCCCUGUGUUGUCUCAGCCCAUAAACUGCGUUCGGAUCAGAUGUCAGAUCUCUUCCUCCUUCUUGAGAGUCAUAAUCAAUAUCUCAGUGAAUUGUGGUUGCUUCUCUCCCAGAUAGUUAUCAGAACCUUCAAAGGAGAGGGAAAUAAUGAAAGAAUACCUGCCACAUUGCAUCAGCUGGGGGUUUGGCAGUCCCUCAGGUACAUGGCAAGGUUAUUUCUCUCUAGUUAGUGCUACAUUACAGUGAUUGUCCUAUUGACCUUCAUCUGGCUCAAGCAACUGGAGAAUUCAGCUAUAACAAGUGCAAAAAGGAUUGGAGCAAGGAAAUGUGAGCUAUUCCUCCCCCUCUUUCCUGCCAGGUAAAUGUAUGUUUUCUUUGUAGCACCGUCAGUGUGUUGAAGCACAGGAAGCAUGAACCCAAUUGGGGAGGUUUGUACCCAUGACUUUUAGAAGCACAUUAAUACUAUACCAGUGUUGUUUUGAAGAUACCACAGAUGUCUUGCAUGACAAAGCAGGUACACACAAUCUGCUACAGGUGCCGUGCUAAACUAUUGCCUUGCCACUCAGCUCAGCGUCACUUCUCAGCAGAGCAGUGUCCUGGCUGCUGCUUUAAAUACUUGCUUUGAAUAGAGAGACAGAGGAGGGAAAAAUUUCUUUUGAAAUCUAUUUGUGUAUGUGCUAAAGGACAAGGGAGAACUGUGUUAUAUUCACUGCAUAGGAACAUUUAUUCUUAGACCCUGAUAUUGUUUCACUGGGGUUAACAAGUGUAUUAUUAGUGAUCACUAGUUACAAAUAAUAACCUGACCUUAUUUUUAACCUAAUACUGAAUCAGAUUUCAUUGUGAUAGACUCGCUGCUGUGCUUCAAUCUUUGAAUAUUAUCAUUAAGAAUUUCAGUGCCUUCCAUUUUAGAUGUUAAAAAUAGGCGGCAAGUUGGAUAAUAAUUAUCAUUCUGAAUCUCGUUGCAGUCUUACGUAACUGUGUUCUCACCAAAAGCCUUAUUUUAACGGUUGGGUUGAAGAACAUACUACAGUAACCUGAAAUUAUUUGCACUACUGUAGCUCAGUUAUGCAAAGCCUGGAUAGAAUACAUAUUUUUUCAAAGAAAGUUAGAGAACCAGUUUAAUAUUCAUGAAAACAAAGGUGCACAGACUGACUCAGGUCUGGCAUUGUAAAAUCAUGUGUUGUCAGCACCUCUCAGUCUUUAGCAUAAGCAUUCUUCAUAAUCCUAUAUUGCCCAAACAGAAACUCCUAGUCAUGCCAUCUCCCUGCCAGUCAAAAUAUUUGCGUAUGCAAUAAUGGUAAAUAAAUAAACAUGCAAAAUGAAAUAGCAAUGGUAAAUUACCUGGAGAGGGAAUAUCCCCGGGUGGAUGGAGCUACACUUGAUAAACCUGAGUUUCUUCAUUACUAACUCUGUGUUCUUACAUGAAAUAUUGUUUCCAGUUUUCCUAGCUAAAACUAUUUACCCUUGCAGCCUUGAGCUGGGCCACCUUUUCUCAUCAUCUCUCUCAAAUUCCCAUGACUUGGGAAAGGUAAAAAAUGACUGGGAAGGGCAGUGGUCAGUCCUGCGAACAAAAGAUACCUCCUUCAUAUACACCAGAUUUCCCAGUUCUCCCAGUGAUAGCUGUAACAGCAAACCCUGAUGUUUUCUCUUUGAGUAAUACAAUUUACUAAUUGGAACUGGAAUCUUAGUAACCAAACGUCUGAUUUUCUUUGUUAUAGAUGUACCAUUGGUGGUAACUGUUGAGUACAUUCAGUAACAAAAUAGCACCCUCCUUUCGUUAACCUGGGAGUACCCAUGUCCGGUACAUUUUGUUGCAUGUCUGUUGUACAGGUGCUGCAAACAUGCAGUUGGUAGAAGUCAAGGCCAUCAAAUCCUGGAAGCUUACAGGCCCGUUCUGCCCAAGUUCAUGCUGCUCUUGAGCUGUGUUAGAUGAAUAACUAGCUGAAUGUUCUUCAUAGGCAGUAAGUGCAUCCAAAAGCAGUUUCAAGCUCAAAAGCAGAAGCUAGUAAUAACCUUGCUUGCUACUGUGAUACACAGAGAUCCAGAUCAUCAAAACUGUAUUAUAAACUAUUCUCAGCUGCAUAUCUGUGUGUAACCUACCAUCCUGUGUUGCAGCUGUUUCUAGAUGGUAGUCUAUCAACGUACCUUUUCAUGAAGGGCUCUCUCUGUCCUCAGUAUAAACUUCACUUAAAAAAUAGCAUCUAUUACAAAGGAGAAUCAUUCAUAUUUGUACCUCUAGUAUUCCAAGCAACUGAAUUGGUUCAGCUACUACUCUUCUGAUUUUUUGACAAAGGCCAAUUGGAGGCAGCAGACAAACGUACCAAAAUGGAACAAGAAUUAUUCAUGUGUGGGUAAUAUAGCGAGUGAAAGAGUUUCCAUAAUAAAGUUGUGUACAUUACAGUAGCCUUGAGAUAGGACUGAUUUCUUUCACAACAAGUUCUUCUGGUUUCGUGUGACUAUUUAAUAUGCUUCUGUUUUCCAGAAAAUAACUCCUGCUUUUACUCUGUGCUGUGAAGCUGGUAUAGCAGGAGGUGCUAUGGGCUGCGGGUCAGGAGAUGGAACGUGUCUCUUGUAUCAGUUCUCAUUUCCCCUUCUGUGAGGUGUUACAGGAAUUUUGCUGGUUGAGUAGUUUUGUUUAUUGUUUGGUUUUGGUUUUUCUUACACUUCAAAGAAAGUGCAUUUCAGUUUAAGUUAUCCUUAAGAGGAAAUUGGUGACUAUUAGGUGAACAAACUUAUUAUUUUCUUAUGUCUGUAAAUGAUACAAGUGAACAAGCUUUUGGGCAGCACCACUGAAUGCAAAUGCUUGCCUUUCUUUGUGUGUGUUGUAAAUGUGGAUGCUUUCUACAUGAUCAUCCAGAAAAAAUACAUGUAAAUAUUCCUUUAACAGAGGUGAGCCUAUGAUGUUAAUAAAUAAAUAAAAAUCAAUGAACCAAA
Coturnix japonica (Japanese quail) is the source of this 4529-nucleotide RNA transcript. RefSeq lists it as uncharacterized. Lineage: Eukaryota; Metazoa; Chordata; Aves; Galliformes; Phasianidae. The record is from RefSeq and is a predicted model, not a curated record.